RNA transcript from Pipistrellus kuhlii (Kuhl's pipistrelle), 4302 nucleotides. It is a transcript of the gene named ring finger protein 14, with no coding region annotated. Lineage: Eukaryota; Metazoa; Chordata; Mammalia; Chiroptera; Vespertilionidae. The record is from RefSeq and is a predicted model, not a curated record. The transcript has 12 exons.
AGACCGCGCCCCGCCCCAGGGCGCCGAGAGACCGAAGGGUCCGGUCCCGGCUUCUCCGGGACCUCCCGCGGCCGCACCGCGCCCCGUGCCCGGCGCUGGGGCGGACAGCGAGGCUCGGGCCUGCUCCCGGGUGUAGGUUUCAAGUGUCCAGCUCAGUAAAACGUCAUCUGCACACUGCAUCGUGGGUCCAUCACCUCAAGCAAAGUGUUCGUCCCCAUUUCCUCCCCUUUGUCUACUUCCAAGUCCCUGCUUCUAGUGGGAUGUGGCAGAGCUGUUACUGAGCUGUGUGAUUCUGGCUCCCCCAUGUCAGCCCACUGCAUCUCACUCCAAUUCACUUCUCAUUUUUUCCAGUGUCUAAUGCAAGGCACUGCCAGAUGCUGAGAACAAUACAUACACGCAAAAGACUUGAUUCUCACUCUUAAGGAACGUGUACUGUCUGAUGGCAGGAUUUCUAUAGUAUAUCUAGUAUGAGUUCCACUUCUUGGUCUCUUAUCCAACUUCAGCAGUCUCAUCUCCAUCGUCUGGAGAAUAAAUGGGAUAUUUGCAUGAAUUCCAGACUCUGAACUGAAAUAGACUGCAGUGUUCAUAUUCUUUUGUUGUUAUUAUUAACAGCUCCUCAGAAAAUUAAAUGUCGGCAGAAGACCGAGAAGCUCAGGAGGAUGAAUUGCUGGCCCUGGCGAGUAUUUAUGAUGGAGAUGAAUUUAGAAAAGCAGAGUCUGUCCAAGGUGGAGAAACGAGGAUCUAUUUGGACUUGCCACAGAAUUUCAAGAUAUUUGUGAGCGGCAAUUCAAAUGAGUGUCUCCAGAAUAGUGGCUUUGAAUACACCAUUUGCUUUCUGCCUCCACUUGUGCUGAACUUUGAACUGCCACCAGAUUAUCCAUCCUCCUCCCCACCUUCAUUCACACUUAGUGGCAAAUGGCUGUCACCAACUCAGCUGUCUGCUCUCUGCAAGCACCUAGACAACCUGUGGGAAGAGCACCGUGGCAACGUGGUCCUGUUUGCCUGGAUGCAGUUUCUUAAGGAAGAGACCCUGGGGUACCUGAAUAUUGUCUCUCCUUUCGAACUCAAGAUCGGUUCUCAGAAAAAAUUGCAGAGAAGGACGGCUCAAGCCUCUGGCAACACAGAGCUAGAUUGUAGAGGAGCCGCUGGAUCCGCUCUAGACCAAGAGGAAGCUGUGGAUGAGAGAGCCGUGCAGGAUGUGGAGUCAUUGUCCAAUCUGAUCCAGGAAAUCUUGGACUUUGAUCAAGCUCAGCAGAUAAAGUGCUUCAAUAGUAAAUUGUUCCUGUGCAAUAUCUGUUUCUGUGAGAAGCUGGGUAGUGAAUGCAUGCACUUCUUGGAGUGCAGGCAUGUGUACUGCAAAGCCUGUCUGAAGGACUACUUUGAGAUCCAGAUCAAAGAUGGCCAAGUUCAAUGCCUCAACUGCCCAGAACCCAAGUGCCCUUCAGUGGCUACUCCUGGUCAGGUCAAAGAGCUAGUAGAAGCAGAGUUAUUUGCCCGUUAUGAUCGGCUUCUUCUCCAGUCUACCUUGGACCUGAUGGCAGAUGUGGUGUACUGCCCCCGUCCAUGCUGCCAAUUGCCUGUGAUGCAGGAGCCUGGCUGUACCAUGGGCAUCUGCUCCAGCUGCAAUUUUGCCUUCUGUACCUUAUGCAGAUUGACCUACCAUGGCGUCUCUCCAUGUAAGCUCACUGCAGAAAAAUUAAUAGACUUACAAAAUGAGUACCUGCAAGCAGAUGAGGACAGUAAAAGAUUUCUGGAACAGAGGUAUGGUAAGAGGGUGAUUCAGAAGGCACUGGAAGAAAUGGAAAGUAAAGAGUGGCUAGAAAAGAACUCAAAGAACUGCCCAAACUGUGGAACUCCCAUAGAGAAAUUAGAUGGAUGUAACAAGAUGACAUGUACUGGUUGUAUGCAAUAUUUCUGUUGGAUUUGCAUGGGUUCUCUCUCUAGAGCAAACCCUUAUAAACAUUUCACUGAUCCUGCUUCCCUGUGUUUUAACCGGUUGUUCUAUGCUGUGGAUGUUGAUGAAGAUAUUUGGGAAGAUGAGAUUGAAGAAGACUAGUUCAUUCCUACUGCUCCAGACGCAGAAGUGAAAUGUAAGUGAAAAAGAUGUACAGUUGCUGAUUGUGACUUCCUGCAGAGAGGCUGUGAGAGUGACUCCAGGGUGGCAUCCUCGUCGCACACAAACACAGUGCGGGGGUGCUGCUGGAAGGCAGACACGGUCCACAUGUGGUUCACUCCCUCCUCAAUGGCUUUGUACAGAGCAAACGCCUUGUGAGCACCUGUGAUGAGGAUCAUCACCUGGGGAUCAGAGAACAAGCCCAUGACAGAGGAGGAGCAGCGGAACCGGAAGUCCAGGCACUUGAACUCUAGUGUGGCCAUCCCAAACAGCUAUAAGGAAUACCGUUCUAUUGUAUAUACCAUCGUAAGUCUUAACCUUGCAGCUCCAGGCUCUCCCUAUGCUAUCACACAAGUUGCCUGAGCAGGGAGCAUCGUUACUCCUUGUCCUAUAAGGAAAUGGGCCAAGGUUAAGUGACUUGCCCCAGGUCAUUUCUGACCCUAAGUGCAUGUUCUUGACACUCCAUAGUGCCUCCUGGCCCCUUUGAUGGUGGCUGCAAGUGCCCUGUGAACAGAUGUGCCCUACAAAGGCCCACUCUUACCCCAACAGUUGUGACACUGGUUCUAGGAGGUCCUAGGUGAGUGAGUUUUCACAUCACAAAAAGGUGAGUCCCAAUCCCUCAGGGAGCCUUGGAAGCAGUGCUGAGAGUCAUCCCAACAAGGCUGCCACUUAAUCUAGUCACUUUCAGUUCUGAGUAUUAGACCGACUAAUGUGACUUGGGUAAUGCUUUUUGUUUAAAUGAAACAAAGGCCAAGAAUCAACAGUUGAAAUACCAAGAAAGCAAGUAGUAGACAGUGAUCAUAAAGAACUCAGCUCUAUAGAUUUCCUUUGUAAUUCACUUGCACCAUGGAAUUGUGAACAGGGUUUACUGUUCCCUUUCUUUUUACUUUUUAAAUGUGUUUUUGAUUUUAGAGAGAAAGGAAGGGGGAGAGAGAAAUAUGGAUAUGAGAGAGAAACAUUGAUCAGUUGUCUCCCCCGGGACUGAACCCAAAUCGUGGGCAUGUACCCUGACCAGGAAUAGAACCAGCAACCUUUUGGUACAGAGGAUAAUGCUCAACCAACUAAGCCACACCAGCCAGAGCUACUAUUCCUUAAAAGGUGAGGUAAAAGAGAGCACAGAAAAUAUGGCUCUUUGUUCAGAAUUCCAGAUCUAAUUUUAGAAGAGAGAAUUUCCUGAUAUCCAGUCCAGGCUCUUUCUCAGAUUAGCAUUCACUGACACAGGGCGGUUUGCAAGCCACAAGGCCAAGAACAGCAGAGUGACCCUGGGUGCCGACGUGAAGUGCCCAACAGAAACCUGGCGCCAUUGCACUUUCACAAGCGUUCACCUGAGACUUAGAUGUGUGUUUACAGACCUAGGCAAAGAAGCUUAAAGUUAAAAUGUCUAGCUGCUUCCCACUAAAUACAACCCAGGAAGAAAAAAUGCUCCCAAAAUUCUAAGGAGGUAGAGGCAGAGUUCCACAAUUGUCAACAAGAAUACAGGCGCUCCCAAAUUCUGUCCUAGAACUGAAAUCAACUCUUGCUUCCUGUGCGGCUCCACAUGAUAACCACACUAAGCAUAGGAGAGAAAUUGUUAUUCCCAAUAAAUGCUGGAAUCCACAGGACUUUUGUAAACCCAGUCUCCAGGAGUUAGCCAUUAAGAUAAUCUUUUCAGCAAGGAACAAAUUCCUAAUUUGCUCAGUAAAAGGAUUUUCAUACAAGUUUGCUUAAAGCAGUGUGUCCUUUUAAAGUGAAAGAACAAGAGCCUCAGGACAGCUCAGUGCCUUUUCUACAGAGAAAGGCCUGUGAGAGCAGGGCCACACAAAAAAUUCAAAUGUUACCCAACUUCCUAGGAAAAAAAGUACUAAAUUCAGUUUAGGACACUUAUAUUUCCCACUCAGGGCUACACUAAACUACCAACACCCUGGAGCUAUAGGAGCUCCCUUCAAACAGUGGCCCCAUCUGCAGGGAAGCAGAGGUCCAUCUUGAUACCUGGGCAGGUGCAGACUCACUCAGACACCAGCACUGCUGGGCUCCUGCCUGAGCAGCUCGGAAGGGUUAUAUGCCCAGGCCAGGGAGCCUGCGGUCUCCUAGGCAGUCCUCACACUGAAUAAUGGUUCCUUCCCAAAGAGGAAGGAGGAACACCGACAGGGUCAGUUGGGAUUUUAUCCUCAUAAUAUCUUCAUUUUUAAUACAAAUAUAUUUAGGUGGUA